Molecule: ribosomal RNA, 425 nt
Filed under: uncultured bacterium
Lineage: Bacteria
Description: partial 16S ribosomal RNA
Rfam family: Bacterial small subunit ribosomal RNA
Source: RNAcentral
GUGGGGAAUAUUGCACAAUGGACGAAAGUCUGAUGCAGCAACGCCGCGUGGAGGAUGACACAUUUCGGUGCGUAAACUCCUUUUAUAUAAGAAGAUAAUGACGGUAUUAUAUGAAUAAGCACCGGCUAACUCCGUGCCAGCAGCCGCGGUAAUACGGAGGGUGCAAGCGUUACUCGGAAUCACUGGGCGUAAAGAGCGUGUAGGCGGAUUGAUAAGUUUGAAGUGAAAUCCUAUAGCUUAACUAUAGAACUGCUUUGAAAACUGUUAAUCUAGAAUGUGGGAGAGGUAGAUGGAAUUUCUGGUGUAGGGGUAAAAUCCGUAGAGAUCAGAAGGAAUACCGAUUGCGAAGGCGAUCUACUGGAACAAUAUUGACGCUGAGACGCGAAAGCGUGGGGAGCAAACAGGAUUAGAUACCCUAGUAGUCC